This 301-nucleotide ribosomal RNA is filed under the name uncultured bacterium. RNAcentral describes it as "partial 16S ribosomal RNA". It matches the Rfam family "Bacterial small subunit ribosomal RNA", at positions 509 to 809 of the family's 1533-position model. The record is from RNAcentral.
CAAUCGCCGCGGUAAUACAGAGGGUGCGAGCGUUAAUCGGAUUUACUGGGCGUAAAGCGUGCGUAGGCGGCUUCUUAAGUCGGAUGUGAAAUCCCUGAGCUUAACUUAGGAAUUGCAUUCGAUACUGGGAAGCUAGAGUAUGGGAGAGGAUGGUAGAAUUCCAGGUGUAGCGGUGAAAUGCGUAGAGAUCUGGAGGAAUACCGAUGGCGAAGGCAGCCAUCUGGCCUAAUACUGACGCUGAGGUACGAAAGCAUGGGGAGCAAACAGGAUUAGAUACCCCUGUAGUCCCUGUCUCUUAUAA